CCUACGGGAGGCAGCAGUGGGGAAUAUUGCACAAUGGGGGAAACUCUGAUGCAGCGACGCCGCGUGAGUGAAGAAGUCCUUCGUUAUGUAAAGCUCUAUCAGCAGGGAAGAAAAUGACGGUACCUGAGUAAUAAUCCCCAGCUAACUACGUUCCAGCCGCCGCGGUAAUACGUAGGGGGCAAGCGUUAUCCGGAUUUACUGGGUGUAAAGGGAGCGUAGACGGGAGUGCAAGUCUGGAGUGAAAGGCGGGGGCCCAAACCCCGGACUGCUCUGGAAACUGUACGGCUGGAGUGCAGGAGAGGUAAGUGGAAGUCCGAGUGUAGCGGUGAAAUGCGUAGAUAUUAGGAGGAACACCAGUGGCGAAGGCGGCUUACUGGACUGUAACUGACGUUGAGGCUCGAAAGCGUGGGGAGCAAACAGGAUUAGAUACCCCUGUAGUC
RNAcentral lists this ribosomal RNA (440 nucleotides) under uncultured bacterium. RNAcentral's name for it is "partial 16S ribosomal RNA". It matches the Rfam family "Bacterial small subunit ribosomal RNA", at positions 338 to 795 of the family's 1533-position model. The record is from RNAcentral.